UUACCAAAUGGAACUCUUUAUAUAUAUUCCAACUUUAUUAUUCCAAUAAUAAUAAUUCCAAAUAAUAUUCCAACAAUAAUCCAAUUAUUUAAUUAAAUUAAUAAAUAUACUAUUAACUUAAUUUAAAUAAUUAUCAUAUUUUAUCGGGGUGUUACAACGUAAGCCUUGAGUUCUCUAUUGAGAUACGUAGGAGCAGGAUUUGUAAAUCUUGUCAGGCCCACUAAUAAAAAACUUAGGUUUAGUCCUUCGUCGAAAACCCAAAAAAAU
This 267-nucleotide long non-coding RNA is filed under the name Lathyrus oleraceus (garden pea). RNAcentral describes it as "Pisum sativum (pea) long non-coding RNA (PSAT_LNC009262)". The record is from RNAcentral. Lineage: Eukaryota; Viridiplantae; Streptophyta; Magnoliopsida; Fabales; Fabaceae.